Molecule: ribosomal RNA, 307 nt
Filed under: Astrosyne radiata
Lineage: Eukaryota; Bacillariophyta; Fragilariophyceae; Cyclophorales; Cyclophoraceae
Description: partial Bacterial large subunit ribosomal RNA
Rfam family: Bacterial large subunit ribosomal RNA
Source: RNAcentral
GUAAGUUCCGACCCGCACGAAUGGUGUAACGACCUCCCCACUGUCUCGGCAGGAGACUCGGCGAAAUUGUAGCGCCCGUGAAGAUGCGGGCUACCCGCAGCUGGACGGAAAGACCCCGUGAACCUUCACUAUAACCUGGCACUGAACUUCGGUUGAGUAUGUGUAGGAUAGGUGGGAGGCUUUGAAGUAGAGACGCCAGUCUUUAUGGAGCCAUCCUUGAAAUACCACCCUUAUUCUGCUGAAGUUCUAACCGGUAGCUAGAACUAUCGGAACACUGUCAGGCGGGUAGUUUGACUGGGGCGGUCGC